RNAcentral lists this ribosomal RNA (460 nucleotides) under uncultured bacterium. Its description in RNAcentral is "partial 16S ribosomal RNA". It matches the Rfam family "Bacterial small subunit ribosomal RNA", at positions 338 to 795 of the family's 1533-position model. The record is from RNAcentral.
CCUACGGGAGGCAGCAGUGAGGAAUAUUGGUCAAUGGACGAGAGUCUGAACCAGCCAAGUAGCGUGAAGGAUGACUGCCCUAUGGGUUGUAAACUUCUUUUAUAUGGGAAUAAAAUGUUCCACGUGUGGGAUUUUGUAUGUACCAUAUGAAUAAGGAUCGGCUAACUCCGUGCCAGCAGCCGCGGUAAUACGGAGGAUCCGAGCGUUAUCCGGAUUUAUUUGGUUUAAAGGGAGCGUAGGUGGAUUGUUAAGUCAGUUGUGAAAGUUUGCGGCUCAACCGUAAAAUUGCAGUUGAAACUGGCAGUCUUGAGUACAGUAGAGGUGGGUGGAAUUCGUGGUGUAGCGGUGAAAUGCUUAGAUAUCACGAAGAACUCCGAUUGCGAAGGCAGCUCACUGGACUGCAACUGACACUGAGGCUCGAAAGUGUGGGUAUCAAACAGGAUUAGAUACCCUAGUAGUC